This 496-nucleotide ribosomal RNA is filed under the name uncultured bacterium. Its description in RNAcentral is "bacterial SSU rRNA". It matches the Rfam family "Bacterial small subunit ribosomal RNA", at positions 903 to 1397 of the family's 1533-position model. The record is from RNAcentral.
AAAGGAAUAGACGGGGGCCCGCACAAGCGGAGGAACAUGUGGUUUAAUUCGAUGAUACGCGAGGAACCUUACCCGGGCUUGAAAGACGCUUGCAUGGAGCAGAGAUGUUCCUUUGUAGUAAUACACCAGCGUCUAGGUGCUGCAUGGCUGUCGUCAGCUCGUGCCGUGAGGUGUCGGGUUAAGUCCCAUAACGAGCGCAACCCCUACCUCCAGUUGCCAGCGGGUAAAGCCGGGGACUCUGGAGGGACUGCCGCCGCAAGGUGCGAGGAAGGCGGGGAUGACGUCAAGUCAGCACGGCCCUUACGUCCGGGGCCACACACGUGUUACAAUGGCAGGUACAGAGGGCAGCCAGGCGGCGACGCUGAGCCAAUCCUAAAAACCUGUCCCAGUUCGGAUCGGAGUCUGCAACCCGACUCCGUGAAGCUGGAUUCGCUAGUAAUCGCGCAUCAGCCAUGGCGCGGUGAAUACGUUCCCGGGCCUUGCACACACCGCCCGU